UACGUAGGGGGCAAGCGUUAUCCGGAUUUACUGGGUGUAGAGGGAGCGUAGACGGUUAAUCAAGUCAGAAGUGAAAACCCAGGGCUCAACCUUGGGACUGCUUUUGAAACUGAGUAGCUAGAGUGCAGGAGAGGUAAGCGGAAUUCCUAGUGUAGCGGUGAAAUGCGUAGAUAUUAGGAGGAACACCAGUGGCGAAGGCGGCUUACUGGACUGUAACUGACGUUGAGGCUCGAAAGCGUGGGGAGCAAACAGG
This 253-nucleotide ribosomal RNA is filed under the name uncultured bacterium. RNAcentral's name for it is "partial 16S ribosomal RNA". It matches the Rfam family "Bacterial small subunit ribosomal RNA", at positions 524 to 776 of the family's 1533-position model. The record is from RNAcentral.